This is a long non-coding RNA of Struthio camelus australis, 1315 nucleotides long. Lineage: Eukaryota; Metazoa; Chordata; Aves; Struthioniformes; Struthionidae. The record is from Ensembl.
AGUGCCAAUGGGCCAGAACCCGGUUUGGCUCUUGCUGUGCUAUGUAUUGUGCAACGAAGUCUCUUGACAGUCUUUGCCCUAAAGUGCUAACAGUCUAAAAGAGACAAAGUCACAGGCAGAAAGAGAAUAAGGGAUCUAAGAGCAGAGUUUCCUGAUGGGUAGCAGAUCAUACUAUACCAAUUUCAAAAGAAGAGUUUGGGGAUUUUGACAGUGAGAUUGCAAAAGGGGUAGCCCAAGUACUGUGCUGCUCUGAAAAUGUUCCCUAGUACUGGUAAAUGAUGGAAAAGGAGAUUCCUGCUUAAAGUACAAUACGAGACGGAUGCCUUGCUGCUCUCAAGACUGAGGAAGCAUGACAGGCAGAAGGAGCAGCCUCAAGCAUGGCAGAGUCAAGCACCUACUGGCUCAGCAGGGACCAGCCUCAUCCACCGCAGGCUUGUUGCAUCUACGCUGGCUCUUUGGGCAGCCAGGGUACAGACAGUGCUUAGAGAAGCAAUGAUUCUGCGACUCUGCUGGAGACCUGUGUGUUUGGUCUACGGACAGCUUGAUCACCAAGAACUCACACUUGCAAGCCUCGAAGGCUAGCAAACCACCCUCACAACCUGUGGCUCCAGCCCACUCCCUCCUUCAGCCAAGGAAUCGCUCUGUGUUGUUCAGAGAGAUUGCAGCGUGCCAUCGCUGCUUGCCCUUAGCCGGUGCUGCUCGUUAAAGACUGAGAAUGUGGAAUAUGACUUGUUUUGUGCCAACAGAGAUAAAUGGAUGACGAAGCACAUGUAACUAGCAAAGCACGGGCACUUCUGCUGGCACCAGCAUCCAAGGGUUGCUUUCACUGAUCAAAAUGAGGAAAAAAAAAAAACCAAGGAUGUGAAAGCCAUUGGCAUUGGUAGGAAGCAAUUAACUAAAGGAGAAACUACUGAACUCUCACUUUGUACUUUUCCUCAUGAUUCUUGCUGGUUUCUGGGACCAAGGACUUGGUGAGAAUGCAGCUUCAUCAUCCUUCGGACUCUUCAUGCCUUCUUGGAUUUUGAAUCUGGUCAUCAGGAAGGAUAAAGAAUAACAACAGGUGACUAUGGAACUAAUGAAUCGGGAAGCAAUCCUAAAAGAAUUGCAGUACUCCAUGCCUUUGGGAGAGGCACCCAAAGACACCUGCCUCUUGGCUGCAGCUUUCACUCCUGCCCUCAGAAUCAGAAGAGCUGAGCAGUGGAAAUAAUGCUAUAUUUCUUUGUCUCCUGACCAUUUUGUCAUGCAGAAACACCCCCUCCAGUUUUCUGCGAUGUCCUUGGAGCCUGUCUCCAUGCUCAGAAAAGUCUUUGCGCUA